Molecule: ribosomal RNA, 445 nt
Filed under: uncultured bacterium
Lineage: Bacteria
Description: partial 16S ribosomal RNA
Rfam family: Bacterial small subunit ribosomal RNA
Source: RNAcentral
UCCAGACUCCUACGGGAGGCAGCAGUGGGGGAUAUUGCACAAUGGGGGAACCCUGAUGCAGCGACGCCGCGUGGGUGAAGGAGUAUUUCGGUAUGUAAAGCCCUAUCGGCAGGGAAGAAGAAAGACGGUACCUGACUAAGAAGCCCCGGCUAACUACGUGCCAGCAGCCGCGGUAAUACGUAGGGGGCAAGCGUUAUCCGGAUUUACUGGGUGUAAAGGGGGCGCAGACGGCAAUGCAAGCCAGGAGUGAAAGCCCGGGGCCCAACCCCGGGACUGCUCUUGGAACUGCAUGGCUGGAGUACAGGAGGGGCAGGCGGAAUUCCUAGUGUAGCGGUGAAAUGCGUAGAUAUUAGGAGGAACACCGGUGGCGAAGGCGGCCUGCUGGACUGUGACUGACGUUGAGGCCCGAAGGCGUGGGGAGCAAACAGGAUUAGAUACCCCUGUA